GACGUAGGGCGCGAGCGUUGUCCGGAUUUAUUGGGCGUAAAGAGCUCGUAGGCGGCUCGUUGCGUCAAUCGUGAAAACCCGGGGCUUAACUCCGAAACUGCAUUCGAUACUGCCGUGCUUGAGGACUGGAGAGGAGACUGGAAUUUACGGUGUAGCGGUGAAAUGCGUAGAUAUCGUAAGGAAGACCAGUGGCGAAGGCGGGUCUCUGGACAGUUCCUGACGCUGAGGCACGAAGGUCAGGGGAGCAAACGGG
This 253-nucleotide ribosomal RNA is filed under the name uncultured bacterium. RNAcentral's name for it is "partial 16S ribosomal RNA". It matches the Rfam family "Bacterial small subunit ribosomal RNA", at positions 524 to 776 of the family's 1533-position model. The record is from RNAcentral.